GACGAACGCUGGCGGCGUGCCUAAUACAUGCAAGUAGAACGCUGAAGGAGGAGCUUGCUCUUCUGGAUGAGUUGCGAACGGGUGAGUAACGCGUAGGUAACCUGCCUGGUAGCGGGGGAUAACUAUUGGAAACGAUAGCUAAUACCGCAUAACAGUAGAUGUUGCAUGACAUUUGCUUAAAAGGUGCAAUUGCAUCACUACCAGAUGGACCUGCGUUGUAUUAGCUAGUUGGUGGGGUAACGGCUCACCAAGGCGACGAUACAUAGCCGACCUGGGAGGGGGCUCGGCCACACUGGGACUGAGACACGGCCCAGACUCCUACGGGAGGCAGCAGUAGGGAAUCUUCGGCAAUGGACGGAAGUCUGACCGAGCAACGCCGCGUGAGUGAAGAAGGUUUUCGGAUCGUAAAGCUCUGUUGUAAGAGAAGAACGAGUGUGAGAGUGGAAAGUUCACACUGUGACGGUAUCUUACCAGAAAGGGACGGCUAACUACGUG
RNAcentral lists this ribosomal RNA (495 nucleotides) under uncultured bacterium. RNAcentral's name for it is "partial 16S ribosomal RNA". It matches the Rfam family "Bacterial small subunit ribosomal RNA", at positions 28 to 507 of the family's 1533-position model. The record is from RNAcentral.